UCUCCAACAAUCCUGAACAGAAUGAGACGGAGGAAUGAUGCACUGUUUUAUUAGUUAAAUUAAAAUAAAUAGUUAAUUUAAAUGGAAAAUUAGACGUUUUUUUUUUUUUUACAGGAGAACGGAUAAAACCAGAGCAGCCAGAGCUGUUUGCAUCUUGACAUCUAUGCUGGACGACGUAUUUUCAGCCACCUAACAAAAGAAAUCAUGGCAGAAGCUGCAGGCAGACGAUGGACUGUUAUGAGAGUCAUCAAAUAUCUGUUCCUCAUCCUGACUCUGCUGUCUCUCCUUUACAUCGGAAAGUUACUCAUAUUUAACAACCCAGUGGACAUGUUGAAGGAAAGUUUAAAAGCGUUGUUAGAGGAAUCAGUGAAGAUGAACAAAGAAGAACAAAGUAGGCUUGAAACUCUCUCUCGACUCCUGGAUGAUGUGAG
Molecule: long non-coding RNA, 431 nt
Organism: Poecilia latipinna (sailfin molly)
Lineage: Eukaryota; Metazoa; Chordata; Actinopteri; Cyprinodontiformes; Poeciliidae
Exons: 4
Source: RefSeq, a predicted model, not a curated record